ACUCCUACGGGAGGCAGCAGUGGGGAAUAUUGCACAAUGGGGGAAACCCUGAUGCAGCCAUGCCGCGUGUGUGAAGAAGGCCUUCGGGUUGUAAAGCACUUUCAGUAGGGAGGAAGGUAGUGUAGUUAACACCUGCAUUAUUUGACGUUACCUACAGAAGAAGCACCGGCUAACUCCGUGCCAGCAGCCGCGGUAAUACGGAGGGUGCGAGCGUUAAUCGGAAUUACUGGGCGUAAAGCGCAUGCAGGCGGCCUGUUAAGUCAGAUGUGAAAGCCCGGGGCUUAACCUCGGAAUUGCAUUUGAAACUGGCAGGCUAGAGUCUUGUAGAGGGGGGUAGAAUUUCAGGUGUAGCGGUGAAAUGCGUAGAGAUCUGAAGGAAUACCAGUGGCGAAGGCGGCCCCCUGGACAAGACUGACGCUCAGAUGCGAAAGCGUGGGG
RNAcentral lists this ribosomal RNA (438 nucleotides) under uncultured bacterium. RNAcentral's name for it is "bacterial SSU rRNA". It matches the Rfam family "Bacterial small subunit ribosomal RNA", at positions 335 to 766 of the family's 1533-position model. The record is from RNAcentral.